Molecule: ribosomal RNA, 536 nt
Filed under: uncultured bacterium
Lineage: Bacteria
Description: bacterial SSU rRNA
Rfam family: Bacterial small subunit ribosomal RNA
Source: RNAcentral
AUAUUUUGAUCAUGGCAUCAGGAACGAACGCUGGCGGCGUGCCUAAUACAUGCAAGUCGAGCGAAUCAAUAGGAGCUUGCUCCUGUUGGUUAGCGGCGGACGGGUGAGUAACACGUGGGCAACCUGCCUGUAAGACUGGGAUAACACCGGGAAACCGGUGCUAAUACCGGAUAAUCCUUUUCCUCGAGUGGGGAAAAGCUGAAAGACGGCGCAAGCUGUCACUUACAGAUGGGCCCGCGGCGCAUUAGCUAGUUGGUGAGGUAAUGGCUCACCAAGGCGACGAUGCGUANCCGACCUGAGAGGGUGAUCGGCCACACUGGGACUGAGACACGGCCCAGACUCCUACGGGAGGCAGCAGUAGGGAAUCUUCCACAAUGGACGAAAGUCUGAUGGAGCAACGCCGCGUGGGGGAUGAAUGGCUUCGGCCCGUAAACCCCUGUCAUUUGCGAACAAAGUGCACUAUUUAAAAGAUGGUGUAUUGAUAGUAGCGGAAGAGGAAGGGACGGCUAACUCUGUGCUAGCAGCCGCGGUAAUUC